GCCUACGGGGCGCAGCAGUGAGGAAUAUUGGUCAAUGGGCGAGAGCCUGAACCAGCCAAGUCGCGUGAAGGAUGACGGCCCUACGGGUUGUAAACUUCUUCUGUCAGGGAGCAAUUGAGUCCACGUGUGGGCUUAGCGAGAGUACCUGAAGAAAAAGCAUCGGCUAACUCCGUGCCAGCAGCCGCGGUAAUACGGAGGAUGCGAGCGUUAUCCGGAUUUAUUGGGUUUAAAGGGUGCGUAGGCGGUUUUUUAAGUUAGUGGUUAAACAUCGGGGCUUCACCUUGAUUUGCCAUUAAUACUUUAAG
This 305-nucleotide ribosomal RNA is filed under the name uncultured bacterium. RNAcentral's name for it is "bacterial SSU rRNA". It matches the Rfam family "Bacterial small subunit ribosomal RNA", at positions 337 to 639 of the family's 1533-position model. The record is from RNAcentral.